GAUGAACGCUGGCGGCGUGCCUAAUACAUGCAAGUCGAGCGAACAGACGAGGAGCUUUCUCCGCUGACGUUAGCGGCGGACGGGUGAGUAACACGUGGAUAACCUACCUAUAAGACUGGGAUAACUUCGGGAAACCGGAUCUAAUACCGGAUAAUAUAUUGAACCGCAGGGUUCAAUAGUGAAAGACGGUUUUGCUGUCACUAAUAGGUGGAUCCGCGCCGCAUUAGCUAGUUGGUAAGGUAACGGCUUACCAAGGCGACGAUGCGUAGCCGACCUGAGAGGGUGAUCGGCCACACUGGAACUGAGACACGGUCCAGACUCCUACGGGAGGCAGCAGUAGGGAAUCUUGCGCAAUGGGCGAAAGCCUGACGGAGCCACGCCGCGUGAGUGAUGAAGGUCUUCGGAUCGUAAAACUCUGUUAUUAGGGAAGAACAAAUGUGUAAGUAACUCUGCACGUCUUGACGGUACCUACUCAGAAAGCCCCGGCUAACUACGUG
RNAcentral lists this ribosomal RNA (497 nucleotides) under uncultured bacterium. Its description in RNAcentral is "partial 16S ribosomal RNA". It matches the Rfam family "Bacterial small subunit ribosomal RNA", at positions 28 to 507 of the family's 1533-position model. The record is from RNAcentral.